RNAcentral lists this ribosomal RNA (267 nucleotides) under Lacticaseibacillus paracasei. RNAcentral describes it as "Lactobacillus paracasei partial 16S ribosomal RNA". It matches the Rfam family "Bacterial small subunit ribosomal RNA", at positions 61 to 299 of the family's 1533-position model. The record is from RNAcentral. Lineage: Bacteria; Bacillati; Bacillota; Bacilli; Lactobacillales; Lactobacillaceae.
GUCGAACGAGUUCUCGUUGAUGAUCGGUGCUUGCACCGAGAUUCAACAUGGAACGAGUGGCGGACGGGUGAGUAACACGUGGGUAACCUGCCCUUAAGUGGGGGAUAACAUUUGGAAACAGAUGCUAAUACCGCAUAGAUCCCAGAACCGCAUGGUUCUUGGCUGAAAGAUGGCGUAAGCUAUCGCUUUUGGAUGGACCCGCGGCGUAUUAGCUAGUUGGUGAGGUAAUGGCUCACCAAGGCGAUGAUACGUAGCCGAACUGAGAGG